RNAcentral lists this long non-coding RNA (1933 nucleotides) under Homo sapiens (human). RNAcentral describes it as "HSALNT0394947". The record is from RNAcentral. Lineage: Eukaryota; Metazoa; Chordata; Mammalia; Primates; Hominidae.
GUUAGGAUUGAGAUGUCUAUUUGACCUUCAAAUUGAAAUGUAAAGUAGGAAUUGGAUAUUAUAGUCUGGGGAAUCCAGAGAAGUGCAGGACCAAAAUAACAAUUUAGGGGUCAUUUGUGUACAAUAACUAGAAGAAGAAAAUAACAGAGUUCCCAGAAUAUAUGGCCAGUUGGAUAUCAAGACUAAAAAUAUUAAAAAUGAAAAUAUGAUCAAUGGCAUCAAGCACCGCUGAAAGGUCAAGCAAAUAAGAAUUGAGGGCUGACUACAGGUUUUGAACAUAUGGAAGACACUGGUGACCUUAGGGGAGACACAAGAGAUAAUUUGGAAACAGUGGACAAAAACAAUUUUGAGAUAUUUUUCUGUAAAGGGAAACAGAGCAAUAUGAUGGUUGUUGGAAAAAGAAGUGGAGAUUGAGGUUAUGGUUAUUAUUUUUAUUAUUAUUUAGGGAGGCCUGACAAGCUGUUUGUUGACAUAAGGGAAAGAUACAUUACAGAUGAAGGAGAGAUGAAGGAGAGAGAAAAGAUAAUUGCUAAGAAUUAUCCUGGACUAUGUGAGACAGAAACAGAAUAUAUGAAUGGGAGGUCGAUUUUCACUAAAUUUACUCACGAUUUAUUCAGAGUAAUAGGAAAAAUGUCAAAUAUAAGUGUAUCAAUAUUGAGUGUAAUUUUGGUACACUUAUACAUUUUUCCUAGUACUAUUUCCAUAAGUGAUAGAAAAAAUGUCAAAUAUAAGUGUAUCAAUUUGAGUGUAAGAGCUUGUGAGAUCUUCAAUUUUUCGAUUUUUAUGCGAUAGGACUAUUUGGAAAAGAUUUUGGUGGCUGGGACUGUAGUUGUUUUGACAUUAAUGGUGAUGAGGUAUAAGAUACAGGCAUCAAAGUGACAGUUAAGGAGGACUGUUUCCUAUUUCCUCAGUUUAAUCUUCUCAGGUGAGUUUGAAGGUGCCAAAUAACAUAGAUUCCAGGAUUUGGAAAGGCCACACAGGUGUACAGUGAAAUAAUGAAGGAUUUAAAAGUUGUGUUGGAGAGAAAUAGAGUGAGCACAGACAUAAGAUUUCAAGGAAUAAGGAGGAGUAAACCACAGUCAGUGCUACUGGCAACAAGAAAAGAUUGACUCAUGAUAUGAAAGUCCAAGCUGAAGGCGGAGAGGGAAGGCUCUAGAAAAAGCAAUGCAGAACGAAGAAGUCACAUCCGUCACUUUCAAGCCUAGGUGUAUGAGGUGUGGGGGAGGAAAGCACAGGCAUCCCUGAGAAGCCUGUUGGAGAAUCAGCAUCCUCAGGGGAGAUUCGAGUUUCAAUCGGAGCAAGAAGCAUCCCAGAGGCACUUUAACCAAACCCUGGAGAGAGAAGAAAUAAGUAUAUUACUGUGUCGUCUUUGCACAGCAAGAACUUAGCAUCAUCCUCUUGUAUUUUGGAUUUUGUUUCCUAUUUCCUCAGUUUAAUCUUCUCAGCCAUAGGUCAUAAAGAUGGCGAUGGUUAUUUCCUUCCUCAUACCCAUGGUUUGUUACAAUGUGACUUUGCGGUUCUUCCCAUCAGUAAACAGAAGCCAUUUUCUUACUCCUUGCCUCUGGAUGGGCCUUGUGGCUUGCUUUGAGCAAUAGAACGCAUCAGAAGGUGACCUCAUGCCAGUUUCAUGCCUUGGCUUCAGGAGGCCUUGAAUUCUCUGCUGCUCCUUAGGAAUCUUCUGAGCCACUGCUUAACAAGCUCCAACCUCUCCAGCUGGAAGAUGAGGCAUAAUACAGAGGAGAGGCAAACUGUCCUAAAGAGACUACCCUAAGCCAACCAGUCCAGAUGACAGGAGGUUGACCUUGACACAUGUGUAAGCCCAGCCAAGGUCAGCCAAACCUAGUACAGAUCAGAAAAACCAUCUAUCAAUGCUCAGCCCAAAUUUCCAACCCACAGAAAUAUGAAUUAAAUAAAUGAUUGUUGUUUAAACCAU